UAUAUUAUAGCCCUUGAAAAUUUUUUAUUUGUAGAAACACCAGGAGAAGCAGAAACCAGCCUUGCAAGCAGCACUAAGAUAAUGCAUUACCCAACUUUACUGGAAAAUGUCAGGGGCCAGGAUACUGUCUCAUCUGACGUAAUUCCUCCCAAUUUUGAAACACCAGGAGAAGCAGAAACCAGCCUUGCAAGCAGCACUAAGAUAAUGCAUUACCCAACUUUACUGGAAAAUGUCAGGGGCCAGGAUACUGUCUCAUCUGACGUAAUUCCU
RNAcentral lists this long non-coding RNA (270 nucleotides) under Bos indicus x Bos taurus (hybrid cattle). Its description in RNAcentral is "lncRNA (ENSBIXG00005004718.1)". The record is from RNAcentral. Lineage: Eukaryota; Metazoa; Chordata; Mammalia; Artiodactyla; Bovidae.